RNAcentral lists this long non-coding RNA (14779 nucleotides) under Vitis vinifera (wine grape). Its description in RNAcentral is "long non-coding RNA (VVIN_LNC003563)". The record is from RNAcentral. Lineage: Eukaryota; Viridiplantae; Streptophyta; Magnoliopsida; Vitales; Vitaceae.
CUCCCCAAAUGACCUGGAAUUCUCACCACCAAAGAGAAUAUCCUCUCUCUAUAACAAACCGAAAAAGCAGUCUUGUCCUUCCCCUACUACGUGUCAUUCCCUCAUAGCCCAUAUUUCUCUCUAUAAGUGGAAUCUCAUGCUCCCACGUGUCUUAUCUACCGGCUCUUAAAGAAGUGUCUAGAAACAUCUAAAAGAUGGCCAAAAAUAUACAGCACAAGGGUAUAAAAGAAACGCAAGCCCAAGACCCAAAAUUAAGGCUCUACAAUAAUGCAAAUGAUAUAAGGUCUGAAUUUUCAACAUUAAUAAUGCAUGAAAAUGAUAGUAAAAGGAAAAGUAGAAUCAUAAUUAAAAAAAAUAUAUCAAUAAAAACCUUUUAUUAUUACAUCAUAUCGUAUUUUUAAGGGUUCUAUCCUAAUAUAAAUUAUAUUUAUUUUUAUAAUUCAUUUUAAGCAAAUUAUUAUUAAAGCCAUUAUCAUUUUCUAAAAUAGUAUUUCUUAUUUUAAAUUAAAAAAAUCAAUUUAUAACUUUAUUUAAAUAUUAAUAUUUAUAUUUUAUUUAUAUUUUAUAAUACUAUUAAAAUGUUAUCCUUAUUUUUUACUAAAAGAAUACAUGAUUUAUGUUUCAUUGUAAUUUUAGUAUUCAUAUUUAUGAAAAUUAUGAGUACAUUAUUUAUUUAAGAAAUUAUUGGCCAUUCAUUUCAUAUUUAGCCAUUGUGAUUUGUACAAAAUUAAAUUUUAUUUCAAAAUAUAUUGAGAUUUUCAUGAAUUUUAAAAUAUUAUAAUUCGAAAAUUUUAAUAUUAUUAUUCGUUUUUUUAACCCAAAAAAAACUGCUGGUAUUUUCGGGUGGAUAUUCUAUUCAUUGUCAAAGAUGGAAAGCCUCCAUCUGAAUCCAUUCAGCACCUUUGCCACUCUUAUUCUAGGAAACGGAAAUUAAAGAAACUUUAAAUCAAAGUUAAAAUAUAAUGAUCGAUAAUUUGAGAAAUUUUAAAUCGAAGUUAAAAUAAAAUAUGAAAGUUGGUACAUUAAAGAAAAUAGAUGAGCUUAUAUAAUACAUGAAAAGGCUAAUCAGGAGAUGGCAUUAGUGAAAAGGACACUUUUGAAAUGGAUUAUAUAAAUGCAUCUAUGAAAAUAUCGAGCUAAGUACCAUUACAUCCCGAGUCUCUUGAAAAUGGCCUACCAACAGCAACACCUUUUGGAAUAUUGGUCUUUUUCGUUCUUUUUCUCCUUGUCUUUUUCUUUCUCUCCAUCUGUCUUUGGGUUGUUUGGAUUAAAACAUUUGCAAGAACGAGUCAUGUUCGCAAUCUCAUCAAAAUCUUCCCUUUCUCUCUUCUCUAUCUCUUUUCUCUAAAUUCCAAGAGACUUUAUCAAGAUGGUAGAUGAGAGGUGGUCCCUAACUUGGUACUCACAAAUACGCGUUUUAUAGAUGAUUCAAGCUCUGCACACUUAAAGGCGAGAACGAAGCAGCGAUUGCUCGUCUAAAUGGGUUACCACCAAAUCAAGAAAAAUUUGAAUUAUAUGUAUUGAAUUAAUACCUCAAUCACCCCUUGAACACCUUUGCAAGAAAAUAGAAGGAUUGUCAAAUUUUACGAAUAUAUUAAAAAAUAUUCAUGAAAGUUUUGAAAAAAAAAAUAUGAAUAAAAGAAAUUUUAAGGUAAAAUAAAAGACAAAAUAAUACACCUAUGUUUUUUUUUAAAAAAAUAAUUAUAUAAUAUAAUUUGUAACAUUGGAUGAUAAAUUAAUAAAAUAUAUAAAACUUGAAAACACAUUUUAUAUAUAUUUAUUUAAAUUAAAUGUGUUUAAAAGGAAAUGAUACUAAUAUACCGCAUGUUGCAAUUCUGACGUGGCUUCACGUUGGCUGGGAAAAAGCCGUGAAAGUGAUUUGGGUGGGCGCACUCAAGCUGUCUCCACCAAUGAUUUUGUCCAAUUGUUUGUUUUGUCACCUUGGGACGCUGACAAGACUGUUUCACCAACUCUUGGUGUCAUCUAUUUGCACUUGUCCACUUGUCAUGUACACUGUACACUAUUAUAUUAGUAUUUUUCUCAAACAAAUUUAAGAAUAUUACAGGGAAAAGUGGGUUUAACUCUAAUUUAGAAAAAUAUAGAAAAACAGAUUAUUAAAUUUUAUAUUUUAUUUUUACUCAUUUAAAAAUAUUUUAAAAUAUAUGCAUUUUUUCAUAAAUUAAAUAAUAAUUUCCUAAAAUGAUUAUUUUACUUAUCAAGUUGAUAAUACUAACUAAAAAAUUGUUUAUUCAGACAACUAAUUUGAGAUUAAUAAAAUUAUAAAUUUUAAACUUUAAAGCUAAAAAUCUAAAAAUAAAAUAUUAACUUUCACUUCACUAAAACACACUAGUAAAAAAUAUAGAUAUAAUAAAUAUUUUAUAUAUUUAUUUAAUUUUUAUGUUUUUAGUUUUAAUUAUAUUUAAUUCAUAAUUUUUUUUAAUUGCAUUUAUUUUUUAAGUAUUUUAGUUUCAAUUUUUAAAUUUUUAUUUUUGUUGUUGAUGUCAACUAACAAAAAUUUUAUUCAAUUUUAUUUUUAAAAAAAUGAGAAGAUGAGUGGAUUUAUAUAAUAAAGGAUAUAAAAUCAUUAUUAAUUAGAGAAUUAGAAAUAUUUUAUUAUUCUAAAAAAAAAAGUCACAAUGAUUUGUAUUUCAUAUUAUACAAUAAAAAAUUUAUAAUAUAUUUAUUUAUAAGAUACUUUUAUCAAAUUAAAAUAAUAAAUUAAUUUUUUGAUAAUUUUAUUUAAUAUUAUCAAAAAUAAAAAAAUAUUUCAAGAAAUAAUUAUUUGACUUGUGAAAAAGUGUAUAUAUUUUAAAAUAUUUUUAAAUACAUGAAGACAAAAUUGAUUUAUAUAAGUUGGGAUUCCUAUUUUUAUAUUUUUUCAAAUUAAUAUAUCAAAUUAAAAACAGAAUGUUUUGUAAUAUUCUUUAAACUAAAGAAUAUGUAAUCCUUUAAUCGGAUUUCAUAAAUUGAUUUUUAUUCAAGGUUGCUUCCACUUAUUCUUGAAUCAAGCGCAUGUGAGGACUAAUGAAGCUUGAUCUCAACUUACUUUAUCGUAAGUUUUUGUCUCUUCAUUUGUGUCCUAAAGAGUAGAAGAAAGUUCAUCUAUUUAUAAGAAAAUUUGAAUAAGAUUUUUUUUAUUAUCUACCAUCCUUGUUUUUAUUUAAAAACUUCAAUGAUUUUCACAUAUAAUGCGCAAACUCCAUGGGUAUUUGAUAAAACAACUUAAUAAACUUAAAAUGAUUUAAUAAUUUAAUUCAAAUAAAUUAAGUAUGUUUGAUAAAAUAACGUAAUUAUAUGACUUAAAGUCAAAAACAAUUUUAAGUAAUAAGUAAAAAUAAUUAACUUAUUCUUAAGUCCACAUCUUCAUUUUACAUUUUUAUUUCAAUUUGUCUUAAUAACCUCUACGAUUUCUUUUGAUACUCUAUGACCUUCAUCAUUACUCGACCUUCUUUGUCUUAAUUAUAAUUUAUGAGGAUAAAUAUAUCAAUUUGAGGAUUUAAAAUAAAUUUUAAGUUAAUUUUAUCAAAUAAUCUUAAUACUUAAAAUAAGAAUUAUAUAAUAAGUUUUAAGUAAACAACUUAAAUAUAAUUUAACUUAAAGUCAACUUAAAUAAUUAAGUAACAAGUAUUAAGUUUUACUAAACACCCAUCUUAAUAGAAUUUGGGUCCACAAAUAUUUUGCCAAAAAUCAUUUUUUUUUUUGUUAUAUACCGUAUUACCAAAAAUACACUAGAAGAUUACUUUUAUUUUUUAAUAUCAAAAUAAUAGGUGAUUUAAAAAAAAAAACAUUUCUAAUAAAAGUGUUACCAACAAAAUAAUUACAUACUAAAAGCAUUUUCACCAAGGAUAUGUUUGGUUUUUAGAAAAUUUGAGGGAAAAAAAUUAAGAAGAAAAGUAGAAAGAAAAAGUGAAAGAAAAUAAAAAAUAAUUUUAAACUCAAUAAAUUAUUUUUAUAUGUUUCUUUAAACUCAUUUUACUUAUUUUUCUCUAUUAUAUAAAGAUUAAAUAUUUUAAAAUAUAAAUUUUAAUUAUUUUCUUUUAUAUUUUUUAUGAUGAAACCAAAUAUGAGAAAGUUAUUUUCUUUAACACUUUUUUUUUUUCCUUAAUACUUUUUGGUAACCAAACGCAACAUAAAAUUACUCUCAAAUCCACCGGUAUAUAAUUUAAUUUAGGGCAUAUUAUGUUAGGCACCACAAAAUGGCCUCAACUUACAAAAUUGCUUCCUACCAUUAAUAAAUUUGGUCUCAUAAUAGUAAUUAUGAUAUGAUCUUCUUUUUCAAUAAAACUUUAAAAUUAUAAUCCACCAAAAAAAAUAUCUCAUAUUAUUGUUGGAGUUGGUUGAGAAAUUAUCAUUGUAUGAUUAGAAGUAUUUUCUAAUAUUUAAAACCAUUUUUCAUAAAAUUAGAAAUUUAAUAAAAUUAUAAAAAAUAAAUAAAAAUAAAAAUCUAGAGAAUCACAUGAGCUUACAUUAUCACUUAAAAAUCUUUGUUUUUUCUAAAAAACUUAUUUUUUUUUGUCAUACAAUAUAUUUCCAUAAGCAUUAUCAAAAAAACUUUUAAAUUUAUAUCUAAAAGUUAAUUAAUUUUCAUAAAUAAGUUUUCUUUUACUUUGUAUUUUAAUAAAAGUGAUACUAAUAAAAGCAUAAUUAGAUAAAGAUAUCAUCGUUAUAAUUACUUCAAAUGACCUUUAGAGUACAUUUGAUAGUGAUUUUAGAAAGUAUUUCUAACGUUUUUAAUAUUUAAAAGACAAAAAAUUUCAAAUGUUAAAAAAAAUUAAAAACAUUUUUUAGAAUUAUUGUCAAAUGUACAUAAUCUCACACAAAUGUGAUCAUAUACUAAUACAAUGAGAUCAUGUCCAAAAAUAAAAGAAGGUUGUGAUAAAUUAUUCAACAUAAAUCUAAUGUAACUAUUCCUUAUUAUAUAGUCUUUUUUUCUUAUUAUGUAUGAAACUUUUACAAAAUAAGUGAAAAUUUUAAAAUGAUCAAAACCCCAAAACUUUUGUGCCACUACAUCAUGGUGGGGGCCAAUGUGAAAGUGAGCCUCGAUGUUACAUAUCCCUAAAUAGUAUAUAUAGGGUCCAACACUUGAAAGAAUCAAUAGGAAGCACAAUUUCAAAGAUAUUUUAUCAUGUAACCAUGUGCCAAAUGCCAAAAGGUCGUGCAUGGACAUUUUGGUAUGUUGUCUCCAUCACAACAUGUCCAAGAUUCACUCUCUUCUAAUUAUGAAUUCACUGAAAUUAGAAUAAAUUAAACCUUUUUUUUUCUAUUUUAUUAUAAAAUUUUCUUCGAAAGAAAGGACAUGAGCCAAUCAACUAAUUAGGUGAGAGUAAUUUUUGUAAUCUUAUUUUUACUUUAUAUCACUUUUAUUAAUAGUGAUUUUAUUUUAUGGUAUUUUUGGAAAUAAAUUGUAGGAGCUAAAAAUUUAUCAUAAUUAUAAUAAAAAAUAUAAAAUAGAUAAAUGACGGAUAAUCUUUUUAAAAAAUAUAUCUUGAUUAUAAUUAUAUAAUCAUGAAAUGCUACAAAUAUAAAACUUGUUGAACCUUGUCAAAAUGACUCUUUUAUACGAGUCCAAAACGUUGCUCUUGUGGAAAAUUUAUAGAUGAGUUAUCCUUUCAUCCUUGUAUUGUAUUUAUAGUAGUGACAUGGUUACAUAUAUCAUAGUGGGUGGUUACAUUGAUAUAGUUGGCAAUUACAAAUAUAAUCUCAAAAUAUUUUACUCAUGACUUAUUUUGGCUCAACGAUGGUUGGUUUCCACUAGGACAUAGAUUGUUAUUAUGUUAUCUUUAGAAUGGUACUUGACUAAUACUAGGACUCAUGUUGUUGUUUUAUUAUCUUUAGAUUUGUCAAACAAUGGUUUAGGGUACUCUGCCACAUUGCUCCCCAAACGCCCAUGUGGUCACAACUUGAGCUCACAGACUACUUGGUUGGGCUAGUUUUGGUUGUUUAUACUCUCGAAAUGCUACAAUUAUCUUCCUACUAUUGAGAUGUGCAUCUUCCUAAUACUUGAAUUUGUAUUUUCCUUGUAUUUCUUCCAAAUGCUUAGAUUUCUAAUCCGAAUACUUUGUUUUCCUCUUAUCCCUACUAUUUUGCUUUUUGUUAUCCUUCUUAUCCUUCUUGUUGUCAAUCUUCAAUAUUUUGCUUUUUAUUGUUAUUCAUAUUGUCUUUCUUAUUGUUAAUCUUCUUGGAUCAAUCUUUCCAUCUAUUAUUUGAACUUGGACUAAAGCCUUUGCAUUUAAAUACAUAAUUACUUAUUGGAUUCUAUGCUAAAAUCAAUUCAAUCACUUGUUCUAUAUUUUUUUGUGAGGAAUCUUUCAUUUUUCAACUAUCUGUUAGUCAAUUUUUAGACUAAGCCUUUGUUAGAAGUUCUAUCAUUUCAUUUUUUUUAAAUUGAAAUUUAUUAAUAUGUCGUCUGAAACAAUAAUAGUGUACAUAUAUCUAAUUUUAGAGUAGAAUCCAAAGGGAAUUUAAGAGAAAAUAGAUUCUCAUCAAACUCUGAGUUCCUAUAACAAUAAAAAUUUAAUAAAUUAUAAUGAGAUAACAUUUAAGUAUUUAAAAAUAUAGAUAAAAAAAAAAAGAUUAAAAAGGAUAAAUUCUUCUUGUGAUGAAGUGAGAUAGUGCACACAAGAGUUGUUGUCAUGACUUCUCGCUAAGUAGGUUAAUGAUUGGAUAACUUUUUUGCUAUUCUUGUAACUUGUAUUUGCUAUAGGUGCAACCUCUUUCGCUAUUCUUGCAACUUGUAUUUGCUAUAGUUUCAACCUUAUUAUAUAAUAAUUAUAAUAAAUAAAAUUAUAAUUAGAUAAAGAUUAAAAAUAAGAAAAUAAGUAUCAUUCUCUAAUGAGAGUUUUUAAUUCUAAAGUGAGUUCUAAGUUCUAGCACUAAUUGCAUAUGCUACUUUGCAUUCUACCUUUCACUAAGGAAAACCGUAACUUAGUUUUAUAGAAGAUGGCAUUUUGUUGUCUUCCCAUAAAUGAUGACAAAUUUAGGAGCUAAAAACUUCUCUUAACAAUAGUAGAAUGAAAAUAUGACUAUUAGUAGUAAGGAGGUGAUAUUAGAGUACUUAAGUAGCAAAUGCCUUCACUAGUACUAGAUGCACUAAGUAGGAUCCUUAGAUUGCUUAUCACUAGGAGCUCAGUGUAGAUGACACACCCUAGGAGCAUCAAUCCAAAUUGCGCACUUAGAGAAACAUAGUUUAAUUACGCACCUUUAAGUGGUGGUUUAGGUUGUGUAUUUAGGGGGUCAGGUCUACAUUGCACAUUGAAAGGACAUUUAUUAUAUUAUGCUUUGGUGAAUAGCGCACUCCCCUUAGGCACUCCAACAAUAGUGUACUUCAAUCUGCGCAUGACACUAAAUUACGACAAAAGUAAAGCCUUGUGUAGUCAGCAUACCUUGGGGAUGCCAUUUAGGAUUGCACAUCAUUAUGCACUUAGCAACUUGGACUACAUAGCACACUUCCGAUUGUUUACUAAAGGAACUCCCUUUAGAUUGCACAUUUCCCUUAAGGUGCAUCAACCACUACACACCACUAAGUGUGCCAAGAUGGCGCACUAUACAAGCCCAACUUGCAUAGUACUCAUAGAACAAACAACCAUAAAUGUGUUAUUGAUUCAUCAAUAAGCUAAGUGCACAUCCAUAUCCCUUUGGUGCAAAUUUUAAUUCAAUAACUCAAUGAACCUCCCCUUAAUAAAAUCUAUUUUCUCCUCCAUCUAUGAAGCAAAUUGCAAAUGGCUCCUAUCUUAGUGCAUUACCUUGACUACUCCACCUUGCACAUGCACUACAUCUUCCAAACAUUACACAUUUAUUAAGGUUGCACGAAAAAUAGUGUCCACAUAGCUUUGAAUGUUCCAUCACAUCACCAAACAACUACAUUGAAGAGACAAGAAGCACAAUCACCUCCCACCCCCAUACUGACAUCUUUUACUGAUGGCUACCCUAAUGGCUACCUUGAUACACCACCCACAUGAGGCAUAACAAAAUAUGGAUAACUUCGGAUAAAUGAUGAGGAGAGGGAUAUUUUUUUGCCUAUAAAUAGGAGAACUGUAAAUAGUGAAUAUGGGGGAAGGAGAUUUAAUUUCCUAUUUGAAAUAUGUUUUUUUUUUCGCAAUUCAGUAAAAUUUAUCUUUAAGUUUCUAUGUUUUAGCUUUAUGUUUCUGUCUUCAUGUUUCUAUGUUUUUUUUUUUUCAUUUAUGUUUGUCUGCUCCAAAGGUAGUGAAAAGGGUUGAGAUUUCCAUAUCUUAGUUCAAUCCUCCAUUAAUUUAGUUGUUGAUGGUUGAAAAGGGCCUCUCUUAGAUGAGUGACUACAAGGACAAAAAAAAAGUACUCCUUAGAGAGAAAAAUGGGUAUGAGCUUUUAGUUGUGAGAGGCAUAAGUUAAGCAACCAUUACGUCAUGUUUAUGUUUCUCCACUAUAGGCCUAAUAAACAAAAAAUAAUCCUUUUGAUCGACAUGAGUAUAAACUUAUCUAAAUCAUCUAAUUGUGAAAACCCAAAAAAAGCAAUUAGACCGAGUUAAUCUUUCAUGAGGUGGUUAAUGCUCUUGUCAACUAGAAUCCCUUUAGUACAAGCCCUUAGUCCAAUCCAAAAGCUACAAGCACUGGUUUAACAAAAUUGUGGCUUCCUAAUUCAACAAAAUUUGGGUUCGAUAAGUGAUGGGUCACACACAUUUGAUAUGUGGCAUAUAUUCUAAAGGUGAAAAAUAGCAAUUUGAAAGGCUAGAAAAUUUAGUCUUGCAAAUAAAAUCAAAUGAUUAUUAAGAGAUAUUUGAGUUCUUUAUUUACAUGUGUGCAUAAGGAUAUUUUAGUUAAUAUGUAAGGUUGCACAUGAGCUCUUGAAUGGUCUCUCUAGACUAGACUAAUUAAUUAAUUAGAGCUCAAUAAAGUUAAUUAAUCAAUUAGAUCCCAAGUGGGUUGGAUUAGGUAACCCAAAACUAAUAGGAUUCAAGUUACUUAAGCCCAUAAGGAGCCUAUAUAAAGCCUUAGGGGUUAGGCCUUCAUUCUAACCUUUCACUCUUGUCAUUUAGUCCAAAGAAAAGAGAGCUCUAACCACCACUCUUUUGUGAGGCUACCGCCACUUCCAAUGCCAAAAGUAAAGGAAAGAGAGCCAUCAGAGAAAGAUCCCUUGGUUUGCGAGAUGUGUGCUACUCCACAUUGAUAAGAAACCAUUUAGGAACAUGCCUAUUUGAGGUAAAGCACCUUAAACUCUAAAUCUAAGUUUUUGGUAUUCAUAUUGCUUUCACAUGUGAGAUCUGAAGAGUCCUUAAGAUAAUUUACAUGCACCCUAAUCAAUUUCAGGCUAGGAAUUGAGCAAGAAUGACUAGAUCAUAUGGAUCCAAGAUUACAUGGGACAUUGGACUUAGUAAAAUUUAGUCAAUGUAUCUUAUUCUUAACCUUUUGAGCUUGUUCUUCGGUGUUACAAUUUGCAAUGAGUUUUAAUUUCAACUAACCUAUGUAGAGUGAAUGGAAUGAGAGUUCGACUUCUUUGCAUUAAUUUUUUCGUCCAUCCGUAAUUACGGAUUUAUCCCACAAUAAUCAUACCCAAAUAUAAUAUAUUUGAGAUUUUUUAUACUUUUUAUGGAAGUUUUUUUAUUUUAAAAACAAAAAAUAGGAAUUACUAGCAUUUCCCUCUGAAGAAAAAGAAAAAUGGAGUUCAAAAGUCAAUUUAAAUUUCAAAGUACGAAACACCAGAAGAAAUUAAAAGGGAAAAUUGUGUUGUGAACCUAGUUUGACCCAAAAAUUAACAUUUGGUCCAUAUAACUUCCAUAAUUGAUGGAAAUGAUAAAAGAUGUUAAAAGACCAAUAUAUCCCUCAAAUUGCCUUUUAAAGGAUAAUUGAUGGAUUUUUCACUGUUUUAAAUUUUUUUUAUAAAUAAUUGAAAAGCAACAUUACUUUCUAAAAAAAUGGUAAUAUGAUUUAUAUUUUUUAUAUUUUCUUUUUGAAAAAACAUUUAAUUAAAAAAUUAAAACUAUUUUUAAAAAUAAAAAUUGAAAACCUUGUUUAGUACUAUUUUUUAUAUGAAAAUAAUAAAAAUAAUUAAAUUUCAUUCAUUGAUUAUCCAUUUUUAUUUUUUUAUAUUGGUUAUUUUAAUAAUAAUAAAAAAUAUAGUAUGUUUACAAUUCAACAAAGAAAUUGUUCAAUUAUGCGUUUUUUGUGGGACUAUUUUUUACAUGAAAAAUAAUUAAAUAACUAAAUUAUAUAUAUUUAUUACUCUUUUUAAUUUUAUUUUCUUUAUUUAUUUAUUUUCUAAUAGAAAAUUUUAAUAUAUCCAUAAUUAACAAAGUAAUAAAUCAAUUGUGCACAUUUUAAUCUAUUAAAAUAAAUUACUUUCUAAUUUAAAUAAAUAAAAUGAAAUAAGUAAAUAAAUUUGGGGUUAUUUCUAUUUUUUAACAUAUCUUAUAUCAAUAUUUUUUAUGGUUAAAUAAAUUUUUUAUUUAUUUUUCUUUAAUUCCAAAAAUAAAAUGAAAUAAAUAAAUAAAUUUGGUAUUUUCUAAGUGAUCUUAUAUUCAUAUUUCUUAUGGUUAAAUAAAUUUUUUAUUCUUUUUUCUUUAUUUCCAAAAAUGAAAGGGAAUAAAUAAAUAAACUUGGCUUAAAUAAUAGUUUUUAAGUAAUUUCUUUGUCUUAUUUUUAAUUACAUUUUGCAUUGAAAAUAAAAUAAAAUAACGUUUUAUUUGUUUUAAUUAUUUUAAAUGUCAAACUAUUGAAAAUAACGUAUAAUCUAAGGAUUAUACGUUCUCCUACCAUAAAUUCUUUUAUUUCAUGUACUUUAUUUAACUCGCAUAUAACAAUUCAAAUACUUACCUUAAUAGUUUAGGGAAAAAUUUUGUUUUUACGUUUUAUAUCAUUUCUUAAAUCAAACCAUUGGAAACAUGGUUCACACAUUAUAUGUGGCACAUAAUGUAUGCAUAUGGAUAAAAUUUGCAAAAUUGUACAAGGGUGGUAUACCAACUAUACAAGGUAAAUGUUCAAUUAGGCAAGACAAAUGUUCUAACUGUAUAAGACAAAUGUUCUAACUAUACAAGGGAUAUACAAGACUAUCCUUUGUGAAAGAUUUUAAUCAAUUUUGGACAACUUUUUUUUUGUCUUGUCAUCUAAGGAUUGCACACUCUUAAGGUACACUUUCCUCUAUUACACACUCAUUUUAUACACUUUAUUUAACUCGCACAUGAUAAUUAGAAUUUUUAUCCCACUAAUGAUGUUUGAGAGAAAAUUUUGUUUUUCCAUCUUCCACUAUUUUUUGAAACAAACCAAUGAAAACAUGGUUAACCUACCUAUGGUUACACAUUGAGUAGGGGGUAAAUGGAAUUUGAGUUACUGUACAAGGUAUUUACACUAAGUGUACAUAACAAAUACAUUAACUGUACAAGGGUGUACACGACUAUUAUUUAUGAAGGAUUUUAAGUGAUUUUGAAAAACUUAUUUGUUUAUUUCCCCUAACUGAGGAUAAAUGACAUUCCUUACACACACAUUGAUUAAGCAUACAUUCAUCUCAUGUACUUUAUCUAACUUGUAUAUGGUCAUUUGAAUAGGUACCUCACUUAUGAUGAUUGUAAAACAAAAUUAUACAACAAUUUUUCUUCUUUUUUAAAACCAAACCAAUGCAAACAUGGUUAAUCGACCUAUUGUCAGAUAUUCAUGAAAUGAUGUAUGAAAUUUAAGUUAUUGUAUUAGAGUAUUACACUAACUGUACAAGACAAAUUUACUAAUUAUACAAGGGUGUACAAGACUACUUUUUGUUAAGGAUUUCAAGUGAUUUUGAAAAACUUUCCCAUUUUUUUCCACUCGAAGAUUUUUUUCCCCACUCAAAUUCUCUCACUCAAGAAUUGUUUCGAAUUUUAUUUUUAAAUUUCAUUAUCAAAAUUUUGUAAUUGCAUAUUUUGUUUUUGUAGUUUUAGCAAUGUUCUUUCUUUCCACUAUUUUUUUUUUUUGUGAAAUUUUAUCCAAAUGAAUCUAUAUUUAAAAUUAUAAUCAUAUUUAUCAAAUUUUUUACUAAGAUUAUCUUUAAUUCUUUUAAUAUAUUUAUACUCAUUUAUUUAAAAAAUGAAAAACUUAUUUAUUUUUAUUUUUUUGUAAACAUGUUCUAUUACCUUUCAAGUAAAAAAAUAAGAUAAGUUUCAAAGUCAAUAAAAAAAAAAUUAAAUACCACUUUCAAUAAUUUUUAGAUAAAAUUUUAUAUAAUAUAUUUUAUUUGAAAUUUAAUUUCUAAAGUUUAAUUAAAAAAUUGUGUUGACAAUUUUCUUGUUGUGAGUCAAAAUACUUUGCAUUAGUCUAUCUAGAUAAGAAAAAUUAUUAAUAUAAUAUUAGAACUUCUUAUCUUAGUUAUUUUUUUCAAUAAAUUUAUCUUUUUAAAAAUUUUAAAAUAAAAACAUUAAAAAUUUAAAAGCUAAAAGGAUAUAUAUAUAUAUAUAUAUAUAUAUAUAUAUAUAUAUAUAUAAUAAAGUGAAGUGAUAGUCAAUUUUUAAAUUUUUUAAAAUAUGGUUAAUGUAGAAAAUAUAAAAAAUAAGAGAAAAUAUAAAUGAAAGGGUAAUAUAAAUUUAAAAUAAAAAAUGAAAAUUAAACUAAAAGAUAAAUACAAAAAGAUAAAAAAUAUUUGGAUGAAAAAUCUCAAAAAUUAUAUCAUUGCUUAUAAUAAGAGCAAAAAGAUUCAAUAUCUUUAAAAAUGAAAAACAAAAAAACAUUAUUGCUUUUUAUUUGACAUAAAAUAAAAAUAUAGAUUGGAAGAAAAAGAAAGAAAAAAAAGUUAGAAAUGAGUAAUACUUAAUAGGAAAUAGAAAAAGAAAAAAAAAACACACAAAAAUUGAAAUUCACACUCAUUUGUGUCUAUGUAAGGGUUAACAGUAUUUUAGGGAUUAAUGAAGGACAAGAUCCUUCAUCUUAAUUUUUAUACUUUGUUUGGGUAUUGUGUUUAAAUAUGCAUGAUAUAUAGACCAAAUAUUUAUUUUUGGACCAGUUGGCACAAAACACAAUUCUCCCAAAUUAAAAGGGAAGAGUGCAGAAACAUGUUGCUUUUGCAGGUCACAAUAAUUGAUAUGAGUAGCAUUGACCAACAAACACCCCAUGGUGAGGAUAGACUACAGAGGAGGGAAGAAUUGGAUGAAUGAUGAGUGAGUUGGUUCAAAGGCCAUGGUCACGAGAUGGAACCCACAACUACCAAUAUAUUUAUAAUGAAAUUAAGGUGAAAAAAACUGGCUGACAACCAGUGUGAACAACACUCCAAAAAACAAAGGUCACGAGCCAUUACAAGACAAACGCCUAUUAACCCACCCCUAGGCUUCUAUACACCGAUCUCUCCCCCUCACACUCCCCCAUCCAUUCUUUUUCUCUAUAAAUCAGAGCCCUUUUUCCGAAACCCCAAGCUCCAUUUUUCAGUGCCUCUCUUCUCUCCUCUUCUCUUCUCUCAAUUCUCUGCUGCUUCUGCAGAAUCAACAAUGAAGUUAGCUAUGACUCUCUUGUUGUGUUCCCUCAUUGGCCUUAUCUUUUCUGCCACUCCCACCCUUGCUCUCAACAUUGGUGUUCAAGCCACAGAUGGCUCCGUCACUCUGGUAUGUCUAUGUCUCUGCCUCUUCUUUGUCCUCCAUUUUCCUCUAAAAAUAAUUAAUUCCUCUUUCUUAAUCUAUCCCUGCAGAGUAAAGAAUGCAGUAGAAAAUGUGAAUCUGAAUUCUGUUCAGGUACCCCCUUCUUCUUCCUUUCUUGUCUUGUCUUUUUUUUUUUUUGAUGUUUGUUCGGGGAGUGGGGGGAUGGGGAUGGGAUUAAAUACUUCUUUAAUUUAUACACUUUAAUGGGCUCCAACUAAUGGUUUUCAUUUUUUGUCUGAAUGGUAGUGCCUCCAUUUCUGAGAUAUGGCAAGUAUUGUGGACUCCUGUAUAGUGGGUGCCCUGGGGAGAAGCCAUGUGAUGGCCUGGAUGCUUGUUGCAUGAAGCAUGAUGCCUGUGUACAAGCCAAAAACAGUGAGUUUUUCACAUCUUAGAAUCUAUAAUUAUCACAUCUCUAACAUGACACAUUAGUCAAAUGACCCUCAUUUCUUAAAAUUUUACAUCACAUGCCACUCAUAAAAUCAACUAUUUUUGUUGCUCUGACUGUUAGUUUAUAUUCUUCAUAAUCUUCAAAAAUUUUGGGAAUGGAGGGCCUUCCUGUACUCUUAGGACAAAAUUGCCCUCAUUGCAGUGGCCAGAAAAUGCAUGCUCGGAUGGCAAUCUUGUCCUUUUGUUAGGGAAUCUCAUCCAACUAAGAUUUUAGCUCCCAAUAAUAAGAUGAUAAAUGUGUAAAGAAGAAUAUUUUUUUCACAAGAAAAAUGAUGGGUGGUUGGUGGUGCAGAUGACUAUCUGAGCCAAGAGUGCAGCCAAAACUUCAUAAACUGCAUGAACAGCUUCAAGAGCUCAGGAGGGCAUACAUUCAAGGGCAACAAAUGCCAAGUAGAUGAAGUUAUUGAUGUCAUCACCCUUGUCAUGGAGGCUGCUUUGCUUGCUGGAAGAUACCUUCAUAAGCCUUAGAAUUUCCUUCUCUUCUUUCUUUUGUGUGUUUUAUUUUGUAUGGUCAAGGUUGGGGAAAGUUCAUAGUAGCUUUCUCCUCAUGAUCAUUAACUUUUUUUUCUUUAAGCUUUUCUUCUAUGGGAAUAUGAAAAGACAGCAAAUGUUAACUUCUAUUUUUUUUUUUUUAUGAUUUGUUUGGAUGCCAAGAAAAUGUAUGAUUAAAAAUAGUGACUUAAAAUUCAGGUUAGAAGAAUCAAAUUUUUAGGCUUGGUCCCUCUACUGCCUAUCCUCUUAUAUAAAAUGAAGAAAAGAAAAGUGUUCCUAAA